AAAAAGGGACUUGGUGUUUCUUUUUUAACUCUUGGGAGUCCUUGUGAGUAUUUUCCCAAACUUUGAGGAGUAGGUGUCUUUUUCGCUUUUGUUUAAGGCUAUUUUUGUAAUAUAAUUUUUCAUUAAAAGGUAGGUUUAAAGAGUAAUUUUAUGAGUUCAAAUAGCCUCACUCCCUAAUUAAUAACAUAAAUAUCUUGUGCACUUUUUAUAAUAUAAGCACUAAACGGGUAUGAUUAUGUGAUAUAUUCCUUUUGUGACACUAUGCCAAUCGACAACAAAUAAGGAAUAUUUUAAUAAACACAUGAUUAAUUGGCAUGUAUAUUACAAUGUAGAUUUUCAAAUGUUAUCAUUUAUUAAAUGAUUUCCUUCUCAAUUUGGAAGUUACAGGUAUAAAGUAAUGUGUUAAACAAGUUUUGGAUUUUAUUUCUAUUUAUGAUUAGGAAACAAGUUUUGGAUUUUAUUUCCAUUUAUGAUUAGGAUGCAAUUAAUAUUUGCAAUAGAUAAUGAAUUUCUUAUCAAUAUAUAUACGUACUCAAAGUUUGACAUGUUCUUCACUUCAUAUACUACCAAAUCAUCCAAAGCAAAGAAAACUACUUUCAAUUUGCCUGGAGAAAGGUGAUGCUGACGAUGAAUAUCAGUUCUAUCAAAAUGAUUUUGAUUGUCACCCUCGUGGUCACUGCAUCUUGUAAGUCGUUAUGCCUUUCUCUCACGCACACACUUUUUAUUUGUUUAUUUUUUUUAAUCUAUGUAUCUCUAUCUGUGUACGUAAUUUAACAAAUGGUAUUGAUGCUCACCAACAGGGCAAUUGAUGGAAGUUGAAGCCAGGGAGGUGGCCUUGAAUAUUCAGGGUGCGUUUGGAAUUGAGAUUGGGCAGCUUUAACUUAAAAGCUACAGCACUAAAGUGUUUGGUAAAUACUAACUGCUAUAGCUUUUAAGCUAUGUUGAUAUGAUUUUUCACUUGUAUAAUAUAAAAUUUAUUAUAUCUUUAAUAAUCUUAUCAAAAUUAUUAUUUAAAUUUUAUAUUUACUAUAUAUUAUUAACUUUUGUUUCAUAAUUACAAUUUUUUUUUCACAACAAGCUACAGCACCUCAAUCCCAAACACACCAUCAAUCUUCCACCGCUGCUGGCAACAGCGGCACAAUAGGAGAAACGUUUUAUCAGACAUAGCAAGCUUGUGUGAGAGACUCGGAUUGCUUUUACUGGCAUUGCAUUCCUGAGAGUGGCCAUGUAAAAUGCAUUGAUCACCAUUGUGUUUGCAGUAAAUAAGGCGUUGGUUAUUACAAGAGGAGUAAAUGUAAAAAUAUCAGUGAACCGGGAAUAAAAUUUCUUAAUAAUACUUUAUUUUUAUCUUAUUCUAUAAAUUAGCUUUAUGUUAGUACAUAACGUUACACAAUAAAUAUUCAAGAAACUUCUCAUUAUCUGCAUAAUAGAAGAAUUAAACAAUCGAUCACUGAAAAUUAAAAGGAGCAGAUAGGUAAAGGCACUAAUUGGGCUUGUGCGUGCAAAAGGUCUUGGUUUUGAUUUCCGUUCUUACAGUACAUAAAAUUUAAAAAAAAAAAAUUGAAGACAGUAACAAAAAAUGUAAACAUGCUCAACUAAAACCAAAAAAUUUUACAAUCCAUUAAGCAACUGUAAUCUUAGCUUAUUCUAAUAGGAUAAUGAAUCGAAUAAAGCUGUCCAAGAAUAAUAUCCUGGUUAUAGAAUCAGUCACAAAAAUAUAAUUCUUUCUUUUCUUUCUUGGUUAGUUUAUCCUAGUCUCUUAUCACUGUAACACUGAAACAAGCAAACUAAAGACUCUUAGCUAAAUUCAGAGAAAAAUUCAGAGAAUCACAGAAAUUAGUAAAUUUAAAUCUAAAGUAUCACGUACAUAAUGAUAAACACUUUAAAAAUGAACUCUUGACACCCUGAACGAAUUAUUUUUUUCCUUCACAUAAGUGAUUUGUAUUUCAAAAUUUUUGGGGAAGAAUGUGAUAGGUAAUGGGGAUAACAUUAACAAAAUGGUCCGAUCAAAGGGUAAGGAACGGUUUUUGUGCCAUUGCAUGUAUGUGAUUAACUCUAGAAUGUGUUUUGAGAAAAUUAUAUUACCAUUGAAAAAUAAUGUUAUAGUAUAACCUUUACAUUAUUAAAUACAGUUGGUGAUGCCUGUGUGAAAAUGAUACUUCGCCAUAAAAAGAUUACUUGAAUACUUAUUCGAGUAAACGCUUAUUUAUUCUUUAAGGUUUGAGCAGAAAAUGAUUCGAAUUAAUUUUUUAAAUAAUUUUUUUGAGUACGGGAACUAAGUAUUUGGCCUAAAUCAUAGGGAGUGAAGGAAAAUUUUACCGUUUUUAAGUGAAGGAAAAUUUCACCCUUUUUUUAGUUCAAUUUAGUAAAUGCUCGUUAGAGAUAUUUGAUGAGUAAGCAAUAAUAAAUGCAAUUUUAUUUUUUUCUAGUUUAUAUAUUUACAGUAAUUGAAAGAAAAAAAAUGCUACAAAAGGACAAUUUAAGCAAACAAACAGGGGUGUAGGUGUGAGAUAUAUAAUAUAAGGGAGGUGAUCUUUUUACCCCAUAAUUUUUGUAAACCUACCAUAUAUCUCUAAGAAAUAAUUAUAAUAAAUUCACAUUAU
Molecule: long non-coding RNA, 2603 nt
Filed under: Citrus x clementina
Lineage: Eukaryota; Viridiplantae; Streptophyta; Magnoliopsida; Sapindales; Rutaceae
Description: Citrus clementina (C. clementina) long non-coding RNA (CCLE_LNC005252)
Source: RNAcentral